RNAcentral lists this long non-coding RNA (387 nucleotides) under Oryza sativa aus subgroup. Its description in RNAcentral is "lncRNA OsNaBo_09g0015150". Lineage: Eukaryota; Viridiplantae; Streptophyta; Magnoliopsida; Poales; Poaceae. The record is from RNAcentral.
CAUACCUCUUGGGGCUGGUGGAAUACCUUCAAGCUGGAACUCACCAAGAAGCUUGUUGUCUGUGGCCAUCUCCCUCUCACCCUGGAGCACCUUGAUUCCAACCUGGGUCUGGUUGUCUGCAGCAGUGGAGAAGACCUGACUCUUCUUGGUUGGAAUGGUUGUGUUCCGCCUUGUGAAGAUGCCUCCAAGAGUCUCAAUACCAAGGGAGAGGGGAGUGACAUCCAGCAAAAGGAGCUCCUUCACAUCACCCCUCAAGAUGCCACCCUGAAUGGCAGCUCCCAUGGCAACAGCCUCAUCAGGAUUGACACCCUUGCUUGGUGUCUUGUUGAAUAUCUGAGAAACAAUAUCCUGAACCUUUGGCACCCUCGUCAUACCACCAACCAGUAG